GUGGGGAAUAUUGGACAAUGGGCGAAAGCCUGAUCCAGCCAUGCCGCGUGUGUGAAGAAGGUCUUCGGAUUGUAAAGCACUUUAAGUUGGGAGGAAGGGCAGUAAGUUAAUACCUUGCUGUUUUGACGUUACCGACAGAAUAAGCACCGGCUAACUUCGUGCCAGCAGCCGCGGUAAUACGAAGGGUGCAAGCGUUAAUCGGAAUUACUGGGCGUAAAGCGCGCGUAGGUGGUUUUGUAAGUUGGAGGUGAAAUCCCCGGGCUCAACCUGGGAACUGACUCCAAAACUGCAUGACUAGAGUACGGUAGAGGGUAGUGGAAUUUCCUGUGUAGCGGUGAAAUGCGUAGAUAUAGGAAGGAACACCAGUGGCGAAGGCGACUACCUGGACUGAUACUGACACUGAGGUGCGAAAGCGUGGGGAGCAAACAGGAUUAGAAACCGGGUAGUCC
This 449-nucleotide ribosomal RNA is filed under the name uncultured bacterium. RNAcentral's name for it is "partial 16S ribosomal RNA". It matches the Rfam family "Bacterial small subunit ribosomal RNA", at positions 354 to 796 of the family's 1533-position model. The record is from RNAcentral.